This 70-nucleotide transfer RNA is filed under the name Loxodonta africana (African savanna elephant). It matches the Rfam family "tRNA". From Rfam's summary of the family: Transfer RNA (tRNA) molecules are approximately 80 nucleotides in length. Lineage: Eukaryota; Metazoa; Chordata; Mammalia; Proboscidea; Elephantidae. The record is from Rfam by way of RNAcentral.
GCAUUGGUGGUUCAGUAGUAGAACUCCCACCUUCCAUGCUGGAGACCCAGGUUCGACUCCUGCCAAGGCA